RNAcentral lists this ribosomal RNA (254 nucleotides) under uncultured bacterium. RNAcentral's name for it is "partial 16S ribosomal RNA". It matches the Rfam family "Bacterial small subunit ribosomal RNA", at positions 524 to 776 of the family's 1533-position model. The record is from RNAcentral.
UACGCAGGGUGCAAGCGUUGUCCGGAAUUAUUGGGCGUAAAGAGCUCGUAGGCGGUUUGUCGCGUCUGCUGUGAAAACCUAAGGCUCAACCUUGGGCUUGCAGUGGGUACGGGCAGGCUAGAGUUCGGCAGGGGGAGACUGGAAUUCCUGGUGUAGCGGUGAAAUGCGCAGAUAUCAGGAGGAACACCGGUGGCGAAGGCGGUUCUCUGGGCAUGUCCUGACGCUGAGGAGCGAAAGUGUGGGGAGCGAACAGG